This 164-nucleotide ribosomal RNA is filed under the name uncultured bacterium. Its description in RNAcentral is "partial 16S ribosomal RNA". It matches the Rfam family "Bacterial small subunit ribosomal RNA", at positions 355 to 511 of the family's 1533-position model. The record is from RNAcentral.
UAGGGAAUCUUCCACAAUGGGCGCAAGCCUGAUGGAGCAACACCGCGUGAGUGAAGAAGGGUUUCGGCUCGUAAAGCUCUGUUGUUAAAGAAGAACGUGGGUAAGAGUAACUGUUUACCCAGUGACGGUAUUUAACCAGAAAGCCACGGCUAACUACGCGCCAG